UACGUAGGGGGCGAGCGUUGUCCGGAGUUACUGGGCGUAAAGGGCAUGCAGGCGGUCCGACACGUUUUGUGUGACAGCGGGUGGCUUAACUACCCGAGGAUGCAAAAGACGGUUGGACUUGAGGACUCGAGAGGGACACGGAAUUCCGGGUGGAGUGGUGAAAUGCGUAGAGAUCCGGAGGAACACCGAAGGCGAAGGCAGUGUCCUGGCGAGUGACUGACGCUGAGGUGCGAAAGCGUGGGGAGCAAACAGG
Molecule: ribosomal RNA, 253 nt
Filed under: uncultured bacterium
Lineage: Bacteria
Description: partial 16S ribosomal RNA
Rfam family: Bacterial small subunit ribosomal RNA
Source: RNAcentral